AGCAGCCGCGGUAAUUCCAGCUCCAAUAGCGUAUAUUAAAGUUGUUGCAGUUAAAAAGCUCGUAGUUGAAUUUCGGGAUCAAUACGUCGGUCGUGCCUCCGGUAUGUACUGGUGUUAUUGAUUUCUCCCUUCUGAUGAACCAUGAUGUCAUUAAUUUGAUGUUGUGGGGAGUCAGGACUGUUACUUUGAAAAAAUUAGAGUGUUUAAAGCAGGCUCACGCUUGAAUACAUUAGCAUGGAAUAAUGAAAUAGGACGUUCGAUCCUAUUUUGUUGGUUUCUAGGAUCAACGUAAUGAUUAAUAGGGAUAGUUGGGGGCAUUAGUAUUCAAUUGUCAGAGGUGAAAUUCUUGGAUUUAUUGAAGACUAACUACUGCGAAAGCAUUUGCCAAGGAUGUUUUCAUUAAUCAAGAACGAAAGUUAGGGGAUCGAAGACGAUCAGAUACCGUCGUAGUCUUAACCAUAAACUAUGCCGACUAGGGAUCGGAUGAUGUAAUUUUUAAUGACUCAUUCGGCGUCCG
RNAcentral lists this ribosomal RNA (517 nucleotides) under uncultured Glomus. Its description in RNAcentral is "SSU rRNA". It matches the Rfam family "Eukaryotic small subunit ribosomal RNA", at positions 569 to 1089 of the family's 1831-position model. The record is from RNAcentral. Lineage: Eukaryota; Fungi; Glomeromycota; Glomeromycetes; Glomerales; Glomeraceae.